RNAcentral lists this ribosomal RNA (435 nucleotides) under uncultured bacterium. Its description in RNAcentral is "partial 16S ribosomal RNA". It matches the Rfam family "Bacterial small subunit ribosomal RNA", at positions 28 to 507 of the family's 1533-position model. The record is from RNAcentral.
GAUGAACGCUGGCGGUAUGCUUAACACAUGCAAGUCGAACGGACUCUUCGGAGUUAGUGGCGGACGGGUGAGUAACGCGUGAGAAUCUGGCUUUGGGUUCGGGACAACCACUGGAAACGGUGGCUAAUACCGGAUGUGCCGAGAGGUAAAAGAGAAAUUGCCUGAAGAUGAGCUCGCGUCUGAUUAGCUAGUUGGUGAGGUAAAGGCUCACCAAGGCAGCGAUCAGUAGCUGGUCUGAGAGGAUGACCAGCCACACUGGGACUGAGACACGGCCCAGACUCCUACGGGAGGCGGCAGUGGGGAAUUUUCCGCAAUGGGCGAAAGCCUGACGGAGCAAUACUGCGUGAGGGAAGAAGGCUCUUGGGUUGUAAACCUCUUUUCUUAGGGAAGAACAAAAUGACGGUACCUAAGGAAUCAGCAUCGGCUAACUCCGUG